This is a transfer RNA of Dichomitus squalens LYAD-421 SS1, 96 nucleotides long. It matches the Rfam family "tRNA". From Rfam's summary of the family: Transfer RNA (tRNA) molecules are approximately 80 nucleotides in length. Their secondary structure includes four short double-helical elements and three loops (D, anti-codon, and T loops). Lineage: Eukaryota; Fungi; Basidiomycota; Agaricomycetes; Polyporales; Polyporaceae. The record is from Rfam.
GCCCGCCUAGCUCAAUCGGAUAGAGCGUCAGACUCUUACUAGCGGGUGACCUGGCACGUGAUCUGAAGGCUGCGAGUUCGACCCUCGCGGUGGGCU